RNAcentral lists this transfer RNA (77 nucleotides) under Anaerolinea sp. RNAcentral describes it as "tRNA-Pro". It matches the Rfam family "tRNA". Rfam says of the family: Transfer RNA (tRNA) molecules are approximately 80 nucleotides in length. The record is from RNAcentral. Lineage: Bacteria; Bacillati; Chloroflexota; Anaerolineae; Anaerolineales; Anaerolineaceae. RNAcentral also lists the same sequence under 15 other names.
CGGGGCGUGGCGCAGCUUGGUAGCGCGCAUCGUUCGGGACGAUGAGGUCGGAGGUUCAAAUCCUCUCGCCCCGACCA